UACAGAGGGUGCAAACGUUGCUCGGAAUUAUUGGGCGUAGAGCGCACGUAGGCGGCUUGUUAAGUCGGAUGUGAAAGCCCUGGGCUCAACCCAGGAAGUGCAUUCGAUACUGGCAAGCUUGAGUAUGGAAGAGGGUCGCGGAAUUCCCGGUGUAGAGGUGAAAUUCGUAGAUAUCGGGAGGAACACCAGUGGCGAAGGCGGCGACCUGGGCCAAUACUGACGCUGAGGUGCGAAAGCGUGGGGAGCAAACAGG
RNAcentral lists this ribosomal RNA (253 nucleotides) under uncultured bacterium. RNAcentral describes it as "partial 16S ribosomal RNA". It matches the Rfam family "Bacterial small subunit ribosomal RNA", at positions 524 to 776 of the family's 1533-position model. The record is from RNAcentral.